CAAAGCACUACCCUAUUUUUCAGUGCCUGCCAUUUGAGGCUUUCUAAGUGUCACACAAACAUUCAUGAACUUCUCUGUGCUAGCCUGCAGAAAGUAAGCUGGCAGUACGUGCCUUUCCCCCUCCUCCCCCUCAUCACCCAUUUAUUCACCAUUUUCAGAGUUUUCUCUGUUCAUUUUAGUCUGGUUCAAGUGCCUGUGCUGCUUCUCCCAUGCACACAUGUGAUGAAGGGCUGGCUGUGUUCUCCUUCCCUGCCUCUGACAUGAAACAAUCCUCCACAAUCCAUGUCUGCGUGCUGUGCACUCGCUAACCAGAGAUCCAAAAGCACGGAGCAGCAUCUAUCAGAGCUGUACAACAAACGCAGCACUGCAGAGAUAGCCGAGCUCUAAUCACUCAGCUCCAGGCACUUUGCUCUUCAUCAUACUUGUCUAGACAGACUAAAUGGUCUCUGCGAGACAGCCCCGGUGUCAGCCAGGGAAGCGGCUGCGUUUUCCAUACGGAUGAACUCCCAAACAGGUGUAGACCCAGCUCAGGUGGAACUGUGUGUCAGAAGCAGAGCUAUUCUCUCCUCAAAACAGCUGCUGGUGCAAAACCCAAGGGCUCUGUCACACAUAAAACUGCACAGAGCAAGAGGCAAGUGUGCUCCUUUCCUCAAAAGGCACAGAGUAAACCUUCAGCCUCAGCAGCCAGAGAUCCAAACCACACCUCAGUCCAUUGUCCUGCUGCAGGGAGGAGAUUUGUGCAGUCCUUUCACUGCUCCAGAUGCUGCAGCCCCAAAAUCAGUGUCACGUUCUGCCUCUCCACAGCUGCAGGAGGAUGAAGGAUGCUCAGUAACACCUCAGUGCUAGAAAAGAACCCACCAUGGUUUGAUCUGCUAAAGAUAACAAAACCAUCCUUCUCCUCCAGAAGAAAACUGCUUGAGCACUGCUCCUUCAGAGCCAAAGCUCUGUUCAGUAACAGUCAAC
This is a non-coding RNA of Zonotrichia albicollis (white-throated sparrow), 963 nucleotides long. NCBI's taxonomy places the organism in Eukaryota, Metazoa, Chordata, Aves, Passeriformes, Passerellidae. The record is from RefSeq and is a predicted model, not a curated record.